This 254-nucleotide long non-coding RNA is filed under the name Sarcophilus harrisii (Tasmanian devil). RNAcentral describes it as "lncRNA (ENSSHAG00000027878.1)". The record is from RNAcentral. Lineage: Eukaryota; Metazoa; Chordata; Mammalia; Dasyuromorphia; Dasyuridae.
UCUAUUUACAAGCAGCUAGUAGGCUUAUAGUUUAGGAGAUACAGGGACAAAAAUAAUGAAACAAUAUCUGAUCUCAAAAAGAGUUGCCCGUCAAGAAGGAGGGAGUUUCCAUACCAGGAGUAUCUAACCAUGUUGAAAUUAUAUCAGUGGAAUCACACCACAAUCUACAGAAAAGGCUUCAUCUCCCAGUGAUUUAUGAUACCUAUUGAAAAGUGUACCUAUGUAUGUAGGAGAGGGAAGAUGAAAUUCAGAAG